Molecule: ribosomal RNA, 254 nt
Filed under: uncultured bacterium
Lineage: Bacteria
Description: partial 16S ribosomal RNA
Rfam family: Bacterial small subunit ribosomal RNA
Source: RNAcentral
UACGUAGGUGGCAAGCGUUGUCCGGAUUUAUUGGGCGUAAAGGGAGCGCAGGCGGUUUUCUAAGUCUGAAUGUGAAAGCCCUCAGCUUAACUGAGGAAGAGCAUCGGAAACUGGAGAACUUGAGUACAGAAGAGGAGAGUGGAACUCCAUGUGUAGCGGUGAAAUGCGUAGAUAUAUGGAAGAACACCAGUGGCGAAGGCGGCUCUCUGGUCUGUUACUGACGCUGAGGCGCGAAAGCAUGGGUAGCGAACAGG